GGAAAGGCUUGGAAAGGGCACCUCCAACUGAGCCCUCAGGUGGUUAUAGCCGUGCCAGCAUCUUGUUUGUAGCCUUAUGAGGGCUCAGCUAAGCUCUUUAAUACCUUUUCUGAUCCACAGAAAAUGCUACAUGAUAAAAAGGACUUGUUUAAACUUUGUUAAACAGCAACAGGUGACUAAUGGAGACAUCGCAAAUGCAAGGAGAGGAGCAAAUCGGAGCAAGGCAGGGUACAGGGAAGGAACAUUUCUACAGUUGGCUAUUGGGAAGCAGGGCAUAUUGUACAACAUAGUAUGGAGCUCCUGA
Molecule: long non-coding RNA, 304 nt
Filed under: Fukomys damarensis (Damara mole-rat)
Lineage: Eukaryota; Metazoa; Chordata; Mammalia; Rodentia; Bathyergidae
Description: lncRNA (ENSFDAG00000027803.1)
Source: RNAcentral